CCUACGGGUGGCUGCAGUGGGGAAUAUUGCACAAUGGGCGCAAGCCUGAUGCAGCCAUGCCGCGUGUGUGAAGAAGGCCUUCGGGUUGUAAAGCACUUUCAGCGGGGAGGAAGGCGGUGAGGUUAAUAACCUUAUCGAUUGACGUUACCCGCAGAAGAAGCACCGGCUAACUCCGUGCCAGCAGCCGCGGUAAUACGGAGGGUGCAAGCGUUAAACGGAAUUACUGGGCGUAAAGCGCACGCAGGCGGUCUGUCAAGUCGGAUGUGAAAUCCCCGGGCUCAACCUGGGAACUGCAUUCGAAACUGGCAGGCUAGAGUCUUGUAGAGGGGGGUAGAAUUCCAGGUGUAGCGGUGAAAUGCGUAGAGAUCUGGAGGAAUACCGGUGGCGAAGGCGGCCCCCUGGACAAAGACUGACGCUCAGGUGCGAAAGCGUGGGGAGCAAACAGGAUUAGAUACCCUUGUAGUC
Molecule: ribosomal RNA, 465 nt
Filed under: uncultured Klebsiella sp.
Lineage: Bacteria; Pseudomonadati; Pseudomonadota; Gammaproteobacteria; Enterobacterales; Enterobacteriaceae
Description: bacterial SSU rRNA
Rfam family: Bacterial small subunit ribosomal RNA
Source: RNAcentral